Molecule: long non-coding RNA, 2859 nt
Filed under: Salmo salar (Atlantic salmon)
Lineage: Eukaryota; Metazoa; Chordata; Actinopteri; Salmoniformes; Salmonidae
Description: lncRNA (ENSSSAG00000091538.1)
Source: RNAcentral
CAAAGAUGGAUAUUUCUCUGUUAUGUAGCCGUGAAUGGCCUGCGAUUAGACCCGCUUUCGAGAGUCCAAAUCCUUCAGCGCUUCAUUAACCAUCACCAUCGUACGUGGAUGAAGAGGGUGUUUCCGUGCCACAGCAGUCACAGCCACCAUCUUCUGUGAAGUCAGACUAACAGUAUGUAUGUAGCUGUCUAAAUAAUGACCUUGUUCAUCCCUGAUAUGGCUGGUCGUCUGUUUUUGCUCAUCCUCCUUUUCGAUACCUUCCAGUACCUCAAAGCCAAAGAUCUUCCUCAGCCCAGUCUGACAGUGAUUCCUGCAGUCAUCAAAGAGAGAGACUCAGUUCAGCUGAACUGUCAGACUCCAUCUGUCUCUGAGUGUUACUUCAAAAUGGAAGGGCAAGUGGAAUUCACCCUACCAUCACCCUGUCAACAGACACUCACAGGAACACUACUGGUGAGGUGGACAGGUCAGAGUUCACCAGCUGAGGUCAAAAUACAAUGUCAGUACAGUGCUACAGGUUCACAGUUUAGAUCCAUGUACAGUGAGCCUUCAACAGUCACAAUUCAGGACAUUCCUCAGCUGACAGUGAGUUCUACAGUCAUCAGAGAGACAGAAUCAGUUCAGCUGAGUUGUGAGACUCCUCCAUCUCGCCAUGUGUCUAACUGUUACUUCUACAUAGAGGUGGGGAAGAAUUUUCCAGGGUCAUUGUGUACGCAGACAAUAACAGGAACUGAGCUGCUGAAGAGGGCAGGUCCAACAUUUCCAGCUGUGGUCAAAGUGAAAUGUUACUAUGCUGUAGGGAGGUCUCACACAUCUCCUUUAAGUAACCCUGUCUCAGUCACUGUUCAGGAUCCAAAACCAGACAUUACAGUCCAAUUUGAUGAGGACUUCACCAUCAUCUGUUUGAUUCCUGGAUCGGUCAGUCCUGACAGCACCUGUAACCUGUAUGUUGGAGAGGAGAGUCAGCCAUCCUUCACAGCAAAGACCAAGAAGAGACAAUCCACCUCAGCACCCAGACAGGAGUUCUGUCAAUUCACUCCAAAUCAUAGUGAUCUGAUCAGUGGUCUACAGUCAGUGAGGAGUAAGGAGGUGAGCUGUGAUUACAGAGUGAGCUCUGGACCAAACUCUCUCUCUCCACGCAGUGAUGGGUACAGCUUUACAGAUCUGGUGGGAGUUCACAUCAGUGAUCCAACAACUGUACAGACACCUUCUAUAGCAGUGGGUUUGACUCCAGGUCCUAGAUCUACUUUGCCUCCCAGCAAGACAGUGAGUCCUACAGAAGUUUCAACUGUUACUUCUACCUUUACCCCAGACACCACAGUGACACCAACUACCAGGUCGACUGUUUGCUGUACUUUUACCACUGACACCCCAGCGAGUCCAACUGAAAGAGUUCAAAGCUCCACAGAAAGUGAUGUGGAAUCAAACAGUCAAGAAAGCAUUCUGGAGAAAACCAAUUCUCAGAGACCUACAGCCAGACAGGAUGAUCACAGACAAUAUGAAUUGGUGUCUAUGGGAGCGGUGAGCAGAGGAAUCAUGGUGGAUUCAGGAGAUGCUGGAAUCGAUUCUCAGAUCACUUCUGUACUGUUCACGUUCACGCCCUCAGGUAACGUUGAUGUGGAUACACAGGCAUUUGCAAAUAAACAUGUAAGUACAGCACAAAUAAUUGCAUGGAGUAUUCUUAUAUCGGUUGUACUAUUCAUUGUAUUAUAUUGUUAUAUUAUUAUUAUUAUUUAUAGCAUUGUUUUCACAGACAGACGGACUCGAGGAUACAAGUAUCUCUCUUUCUCUCACUGUGAUUUGACUUUCAGUUUAAGAUUGGUCUUACAUCCUCAUAAAAUACCCCUUAUGAAUUACAUUAACUGUACUGUAGAUUCGAAGCCCUAAAGUGAAUCUGUUUCUUUCCUCUAGUCUGACACUUACCAUGUAUACAGCUCAAUCCCCGACAGACCAGCAACCUCAGCCCAGCCGGAUGGGUUGUACAGUCUUCUGCAGACACACUGACACUACACCUCUGGCUUUCUGUAGCUAUGUCUCACACAAAUACAUUCUAUCUCACACGACAUCCAUUGUUUAUCACACAUCCAGUUACUGUAAAUAAGUUGCUUAACAGGUAAUAUAUCUACUGUAUUACACAUAGACAACUGGUUUCUGUUACAUGUCUAUCCAUAAUAUCUGUUACUGUGUUAAUAUAUAUAUAUAUUAUUUUUUAGGGGUCCAGGGGCAUAGUCCCCUUUGAGCAUUUUUCUUAUUUCUUUCCCCUAGUUAAUGCUAAAUCUACUGUAUUUAUGUAUUUUACGUUGACUGUGUGAUACCUCCUUCCAUAGCGGUUGGAUACAAUUAAUUUCCUGUUGGGCAAAACAUAAUCCAAAACACAACCAAAACAAACUGCAAAUGCAUCCAACAAGUUUGUUGAGUCACAAGCUUGAUGUAUUUAUUGGGUGCAAAGAAUCAAGGACCAAAAUACAAAAUGUUUGACUACCUUAAUACACUAUAAAUGAGUUUGUCCAAAUACUUGUGACUUUUUCAAAUGUGGGGACUAUAUAGAUAAAGUGCAUUUAUAUCAAAACGGUAAAACAUACAAUGCCUUCAGAAAGUCUUCACACCCCUUGACGAUUUCCACAUUUUGUUGUGUUACAGCCUGAAUUUAAAAUGUAUGAAAUUGAGAUUUUUUUUUGUAACUGGCCUACACACAAUACCCCAUAUCGGGGUGGCAGGUAAUCCAGUGGUUAGACCGUUGGACUAGUAAUCGAAAGGUUGCAAGAUCGAAUUCCCGAGCUGACAAGGUAAAAAUCUGCCGUUCUGUCCCUGAACAAGGCAGUUAACCCACUGUUCCUAGGCCGUCAUUGAAAAUAAGAAUUU